This 1536-nucleotide ribosomal RNA is filed under the name Escherichia coli. RNAcentral's name for it is "partial 23S ribosomal RNA". It matches the Rfam family "Bacterial large subunit ribosomal RNA", at positions 349 to 1875 of the family's 2925-position model. Lineage: Bacteria; Pseudomonadati; Pseudomonadota; Gammaproteobacteria; Enterobacterales; Enterobacteriaceae. The record is from RNAcentral.
GGCGCGCGAUACAGGGUGACAGCCCCGUACACAAAAAUGCACAUAUUGUGAGCUCGAUGAGUAGGGCGGGACACGUGGUAUCCUGUCUGAAUAUGGGGGGACCAUCCUCCAAGGCUAAAUACUCCUGACUGACCGAUAGUGAACCAGUACCGUGAGGGAAAGGCGAAAAGAACCCCGGCGAGGGGAGUGAAAAAGAACCUGAAACCGUGUACGUACAAGCAGUGGGAGCCUCUUUAUGGGGUGACUGCGUACCUUUUGUAUAAUGGGUCAGCGACUUAUAUUCUGUAGCAAGGUUAACCGAAUAGGGGAGCCGAAGGGAAACCGAGUCUUAACUGGGCGUUAAGUUGCAGGGUAUAGACCCGAAACCCGGUGAUCUAGCCAUGGGCAGGUUGAAGGUUGGGUAACACUAACUGGAGGACCGAACCGACUAAUGUUGAAAAAUUAGCGGAUGACUUGUGGCUGGGGGUGAAAGGCCAAUCAAACCGGGAGAUAGCUGGUUCUCCCCGAAAGCUAUUUAGGUAGCGCCUCGUGAAUUCAUCUCCGGGGGUAGAGCACUGUUUCGGCAAGGGGGUCAUCCCGACUUACCAACCCGAUGCAAACUGCGAAUACCGGAGAAUGUUAUCACGGGAGACACACGGCGGGUGCUAACGUCCGUCGUGAAGAGGGAAACAACCCAGACCGCCAGCUAAGGUCCCAAAGUCAUGGUUAAGUGGGAAACGAUGUGGGAAGGCCCAGACAGCCAGGAUGUUGGCUUAGAAGCAGCCAUCAUUUAAAGAAAGCGUAAUAGCUCACUGGUCGAGUCGGCCUGCGCGGAAGAUGUAACGGGGCUAAACCAUGCACCGAAGCUGCGGCAGCGACACUAUGUGUUGUUGGGUAGGGGAGCGUUCUGUAAGCCUGUGAAGGUGGCCUGUGAGGGUUGCUGGAGGUAUCAGAAGUGCGAAUGCUGACAUAAGUAACGAUAAAGCGGGUGAAAAGCCCGCUCGCCGGAAGACCAAGGGUUCCUGUCCAACGUUAAUCGGGGCAGGGUGAGUCGACCCCUAAGGCGAGGCCGAAAGGCGUAGUCGAUGGGAAACAGGUUAAUAUUCCUGUACUUGGUGUUACUGCGAAGGGGGGACGGAGAAGGCUAUGUUGGCCGGGCGACGGUUGUCCCGGUUUAAGCGUGUAGGCUGGUUUUCCAGGCAAAUCCGGAAAACCAAGGCUGAGGCGUGAUGACGAGGCACUACGGUGCUGAAGCGACAAAUGCCCUGCUUCCAGGAAAAGCCUCUAAGCAUCAGGUAACAUCAAAUCGUACCCCAAACCGACACAGGUGGUCAGGUAGAGAAUACCAAGGCGCUUGAGAGAACUCGGGUGAAGGAACUAGGCAAAAUGGUGCCGUAACUUCGGGAGAAGGCACGCUGAUAUGUAGGUGAAGCGACUUGCUCGUGGAGCUGAAAUCAGUCGAAGAUACCAGCUGGCUGCAACUGUUUAUUAAAAACACAGCACUGUGCAAACACGAAAGUGGACGUAUACGGUGUGACGCCUGCCCGGUGCCGGAAG